GUGGUAAAGGAUGGGCAUGCGUUGUAUUAGCUAGUUGGUAAGGUAACGGCUUACCAAGGCGACGAUACAUAGGGGGACUGAGAGGUUAACCCCCCACAUUGGUACUGAGACACGGACCAAACUCCUACGGGAGGCAGCAGUGAGGAAUAUUGGUCAAUGGACGGAAGUCUGAACCAGCCAUGCCGCGUGCAGGAAGACGGCUCUAUGAGUUGUAAACUGCUUUUGUACGAGGGUAAACGCAGAUACGCGUAUCUGCCUGAAAGUAUCGUACGAAUAAGGAUCGGCUAACUCCGUGCCAGCAGCCGCGGUAAUACGGAGGAUCCAAGCGUUAUCCGGAUUUAUUGGGUUUAAAGGGUGCGUAGGCGGUUUAGUAAGUCAGCGGUGAAAUUUUGGUGCUUAACACCAAACGUGCCGUUGAUACUGCUGGGCUAGAGAGUAGUUGCGGUAGGCGGAAUGUAUGGUGUAGCGGUGAAAUGCUUAGAGAUCAUACAGAACACCGAUUGCGAAGGCAGCUUACCAAACUAUAUCUGACGUUGAGGCACGAAAGCGUGGGGAGCAAACAGGAUUAGAUACCCUGGUAGUCCACGCAGUAAACGAUGAUAGCUCGUUGUCGGCGAUACACAGUCGGUGACU
This 633-nucleotide ribosomal RNA is filed under the name uncultured bacterium. RNAcentral describes it as "bacterial SSU rRNA". It matches the Rfam family "Bacterial small subunit ribosomal RNA", at positions 215 to 848 of the family's 1533-position model. The record is from RNAcentral.